RNAcentral lists this ribosomal RNA (492 nucleotides) under uncultured bacterium. Its description in RNAcentral is "partial 16S ribosomal RNA". It matches the Rfam family "Bacterial small subunit ribosomal RNA", at positions 29 to 507 of the family's 1533-position model. The record is from RNAcentral.
AGUGAACGCUGGCGGUAGGCCUAACACAUGCAAGUCGAACGGCAGCACAGUAAGAGCUUGCUCUUACGGGUGGCGAGUGGCGGACGGGUGAGGAAUACAUCGGAAUCUACUUUUUCGUGGGGGAUAACGCAGGGAAACUUACGCUAAUACCGCAUACGACCUACGGGUGAAAGCAGGGGAUCUUCGGACCUUGCGCGAUUGAAUGAGCCGAUGUCGGAUUAGCUAGUUGGCGGGGUAAAGGCCCACCAAGGCGACGAUCCGUAGCUGGUCUGAGAGGAUGAUCGGCCACACUGGAACUGAGACACGGUCCAGACUCCUACGGGAGGCAGCAGUGGGGAAUAUUGGACAAUGGGCGCAAGCCUGAUCCAGCCAUACCGCGUGGGUGAAGAAGGCCUUCGGGUUGUAAAGCCCUUUUGUUGGGAAAGAAAAGCAGCAGGUUAAUACCCCGCUGUUCUGACGGUACCCAAAGAAUAAGCACCGGCUAACUUCGUG